GGAAAGCAAGGUCAAUGGUGUGGUGUCAGACCUGCCUGGGCAUGCAGCAGAGGGAGCUCUGCUGCACCAUGAUCUAUAUUCAGGAAGGGUGGAGCAGUUCAGGCUGCUGAACCAGGUGUGGAGCAGAGUGGCCCUUGCUGCACCAUGAUCUUAGGAGAGCCGGGGAAGACACACAGCAAUGGCACACACAGAUUGGUUUCAAGUCACCAAGCUGGUCCAGGCUACAAGUCUCACCAUCCAGGAAAAAUAGCAGCUGUAGCAGUUCCCCUCCUGCCUAGGCUUACCAUGGGGAAGAGCACAAUUCUAGCCCUGCUCCUGGGGUGAUGUCC
RNAcentral lists this long non-coding RNA (329 nucleotides) under Homo sapiens (human). RNAcentral describes it as "non-protein coding lnc-NIFK-5:1". Lineage: Eukaryota; Metazoa; Chordata; Mammalia; Primates; Hominidae. The record is from RNAcentral.